Molecule: ribosomal RNA, 440 nt
Filed under: uncultured bacterium
Lineage: Bacteria
Description: partial 16S ribosomal RNA
Rfam family: Bacterial small subunit ribosomal RNA
Source: RNAcentral
CCUACGGGUGGCUGCAGUGGGGAAUAUUGCACAAUGGGGGAAACCCUGAUGCAGCGACGCCGCGUGAGUGAAGAAGUUCUUCGUUAUGUAAAGCUCUAUCAGCAGGGAAGAAAAUGACGGUACCUGAGUAAGACGCCCCGGCUAACUCUGUGCCAGCAGCCGCGGUACUACGUAGGGGGCAAGCGUUAUCCGGAUUUACUGGGUGUAAAGGGAGCGUAGGCGGGAUUGCAAGUCUGGAGUGAAAUGCGGGGGCUCAACCCCCGGACUGCUGUGGAAACUGUAAGGCUGGAGUGCAGGAGAGGUAAGUGGAAUUCCUAGUGUAGCGGUGAAAUGCGUAGAUAUUAGGAGGAACACCAGUGGCGAAGGCGGCUUACUGGACUGUAACUGACGUUGAGGCUCGAAAGCGUGGGGAGCAAACAGGAUUAGAUACCCCAGUAGUC